Molecule: long non-coding RNA, 1771 nt
Filed under: Lathyrus oleraceus (garden pea)
Lineage: Eukaryota; Viridiplantae; Streptophyta; Magnoliopsida; Fabales; Fabaceae
Description: Pisum sativum (pea) long non-coding RNA (PSAT_LNC009356)
Source: RNAcentral
AUGAAAUUAAAACAAGGGGUAUUAUGAUGAAAAAUAGGGUGUCGAAAGUACAUAGGCACAGGGCCCAUACAUUGAGCCCAUUUGUCAUUUUCCUUAUGAACAAGGUGCCAACAGUAAAAAAAAUGGUCUUAAGGGAAAAACAAACGCAUUCCGGAAGUGAGACUCGGGGAUCAAUUCCAAUUAUAAUGCAUAUGAUUCGCGUGUUAAACAUGUAUCUCAUUUUGACAUGCGCUUAGUCCAUCAUCACUAUAACCGACUUCUCCACCGCAUCAUAGCUCACCAGUCGUGGCGGUGGAGCACCAAUCAUCAGAACCAAAUACACCAUUUCACUCCAUUUUUUAAGCUCUAACCUAAUAUCAUCUCAAUUUCUACCAAUUCUUCAUAAAUUCUCUUAAUCAAACCAAAAUAUCACAUCAACCCUAACCAUAUAAACAAAAAUUAAAUGCUUAAAUGGAGGAAUCAAAGCCUAUGGCGUUAGGGCUUUGAUUCCUCAGCCUCUACCCCACAUGGUGGUAACUAGAAUGAAGCUUAAAGAUGAAGAAAUGGCACAUGCAUGCCAGAGGGAGAGGUCCAAGAUCGGAGCAAAGGUAUUGAUAAUGCAGCUUUCAGGUAUGAAUCUUCCUUGCUUGAACUUCUUCUUUUUCUACACUCCUACUUCUUCUUCCAUCUGUUAUGCCUUGAACCUUCUUCUUCUUAUACGCGUGUUCAAUGAGAGUGAAGGGGUGAAUUAUGAAAGGUGUGGUUGCAUGAAGUGUUUUAGAGGUGUGAUUGAGAGAGUUUAGCUUGAGAGAGAAUAAGAGAUUUCUGGUUUCUGAGCAAAUGAAAAUUUGAUAUGAAAACUGAAGAAUGGAGAUCAAUUUAUAGAUGGAGAUAGUUAACAGAUCAAACUCUGUUAAUUGAUUAAUGUGAAAGUUUGUUAGAAGUUAUUCACUCUAUUAGUUAUUGAGAAUUAUGAUUUUUAGUUAGGGGUUAUUUCAGUUAAUCUUGAUUUUGAAGUUAGUUAGAAAAUCGUUUUCUGUUAGUUAGUUAGAUUUUAAAAUGUUAGUUAGUGUUAGUUAAUCAAUUGGUGACUGGCUAAUGCAGGUGACAUGUUACAUUGAAGUUAUGCAGAAGCUACUGAUAGAUCGAGCAUGACCUACAAAUGCAGUUUUUGCUGCAAGCUGCAUGUUUAGUUUCAAUUUCUUGUAGGAUAUGUUUUGGUUGCAUGCAAGUUGCAAGUGGCUUUGGUGCAGGUUUAGGUUGGUUUCUUGAUGGCCUGCUAGGGUUUAACAUGGUGACCCGCUGGACUGGUUAGAUGACGUUCCAUUACUUUUUUCUCCAUGAGCAUUGUUGUUUGCAUGUCUGAAAUGGUAAGGAAUUAGCUGCAAAUAUUUGGGUUGUUAGUGGAUAUUUUGUGAUGCUAAUUACUAUUAGUACUUAGGUUAGGUUAUGUGGUAAAUGAGAGGUUAAAACAUGGCUGAUACAUGGCCUUGUAUGCAAUGCUUUCGUGUUGUCAAUGGUUGGUACAAUUUUUGCUGAGUAAAUCUCCUGUUGCCAUGUCUAUGCACUGGUGCUUUGGUUAACAAGUUAAGCUGCUUAUGAAUGGUGGUAAAUGUUUGGAUGCAUCAUGUAUAGUUAGUAUGGUAUGGUUAGAGCCGUUAAGGGGUCGGGGCCUAACUUUUAAGGUCCCCAAAAUUUAGGGGGCCCAAAAUUCUAAAAAUAAAUGAGCCUCAAAAUAUAUAGGCCCCCUAGACUAAAGGCCCAUAAAAUUCAAGUAAAGCCUUAAGGCCCC